GGGGAAUUUUGCGCAAUGGGGGCAACCCUGACGCAGCGACGCCGCGUGGGUGAAGAAGGCCUUCGGGUUGUAAAGCCCUGUCUAGGGGGAAGAUAGUGACGGUACCCCUGGAGGAAGCCCCGGCUAACUACGUGCCAGCAGCCGCGGUAAUACGUAGGGGGCGAGCGUUGUCCGGAAUUACUGGGCGUAAAGGGCGUGUAGGCGGCCAAGCAAGUCAGCUGUGAAACACCCCGGCUCAACCGUGGUUCUGCAGUUGAAACUGCGUGGCUUGAGUGCAGGAGAGGAGGGUGGAAUUCCUGGUGUAGCGGUGAAAUGCGUAGAUAUCAGGAGGAACACCGGUGGCGAAGGCGACCUUCUGGCCUGUUACUGACGCUGAGGCGCGAAAGCUAGGGGAGCGAAC
Molecule: ribosomal RNA, 400 nt
Filed under: uncultured bacterium
Lineage: Bacteria
Description: bacterial SSU rRNA
Rfam family: Bacterial small subunit ribosomal RNA
Source: RNAcentral